GGGAAUAUUGGACAAUGGGCGAAAGCCUGAUCCAGCAAUGCCGCGUGGGUGAAGAAGGUCUUCGGAUUGUAAAGCCCUUUCGGCGGGGACGAUGAUGACGGUACCCGCAGAAGAAGCUCCGGCUAACUUCGUGCCAGCAGCCGCGGUAAUACGAAGGGGGCUAGCGUUGCUCGGAAUGACUGGGCGUAAAGGGCGCGUAGGCGGUUCGUACAGUCAGAUGUGAAAUUCCUGGGCUUAACCUGGGGGCUGCAUUUGAUACGUGCGGGCUUGAGUGGGGAAGAGGGUUGUGGAAUUCCCAGUGUAGAGGUGAAAUUCGUAGAUAUUGGGAAGAACACCGGUGGCGAAGGCGGCAACCUGGUCCUUGACUGACGCUGAGGCGCGAAAGCGUGGGGAGCAAA
RNAcentral lists this ribosomal RNA (398 nucleotides) under uncultured bacterium. Its description in RNAcentral is "bacterial SSU rRNA". It matches the Rfam family "Bacterial small subunit ribosomal RNA", at positions 357 to 772 of the family's 1533-position model. The record is from RNAcentral.